This 467-nucleotide ribosomal RNA is filed under the name uncultured bacterium. RNAcentral describes it as "partial 16S ribosomal RNA". It matches the Rfam family "Bacterial small subunit ribosomal RNA", at positions 28 to 507 of the family's 1533-position model. The record is from RNAcentral.
GAUGAACGCUGGCGGCGUGCUUAACACAUGCAAGUCGAACGGAAAGGCUCCUGCUUGCAGGGGUACUCGAGUGGCGAACGGGUGAGUAACACGUGGGUGAUCUGCCCUGCACUUCGGGAUAAGCCUGGGAAACUGGGUCUAAUACCGGAUAGGACCACAUUUUGGAUGGUGUGGUGGAAAGUUUUUCGGUGUGGGAUGAGCUCGCGGCCUAUCAGCUUGUUGGUGGGGUAAUGGCCUACCAAGGCGUCGACGGGUAGCCGGCCUGAGAGGGUGUACGGCCACAUUGGGACUGAGAUACGGCCCAGACUCCUACGGGAGGCAGCAGUGGGGAAUAUUGCACGAUGGGCGCAAGCCUGAUGCAGCGACGCCGCGUGGGGGAUGACGGCCUUCGGGUUGUAAACUCCUUUCGCUAGGGACGAAGCGUUUUUGUGACGGUACCUGGAGAAGAAGCACCGGCUAACUACGUG